GUUUUAAUAGUUUAAAAAAAACACCGGUCUUGUAAACCGGAAAUAAGGUCAGCCCCACUUUUGAAACU
RNAcentral lists this transfer RNA (68 nucleotides) under Lithidiopsis carinatus. Its description in RNAcentral is "tRNA-Thr". It matches the Rfam family "tRNA". Rfam says of the family: Transfer RNA (tRNA) molecules are approximately 80 nucleotides in length. Their secondary structure includes four short double-helical elements and three loops (D, anti-codon, and T loops). Lineage: Eukaryota; Metazoa; Arthropoda; Insecta; Orthoptera; Acrididae. The record is from RNAcentral.